CAGGCACUCAAAGACACUGUACUCUCAGCUUGAGGCAGGACUCAGCACAUUUGUGCAGGGGAACCCAUGCCUCAUGCCACUCUCCAGUCUGCUCUGGGUGUUCCUGGCCUUCACCUUCCUUGGAUCUGGUGUGGCGCAGAACGUUAUUCAAGACCAGCCAGACAUAUCCGGUCAACUGGGACAGUCAGUCACCCUGAACUGUCGGUAUGGAACAACCUGGAGCUAUUUCUACAUGUUUUGGUACAAGCUGCUUCCCAAUGGAGAGAUGAUUUACCUUAUUGGUCAGGUUUCUUCUAGCCAGAAUGCAAGGAAUGGCCGCUACUCUGUAAAAUUUCAGAAAGCUCGUAAAUCCAUCAGCCUCACCAUUUCAGACUUAGAGCUGGAAGAUUCUGCAGAGUAUUUCUGUGCUCUCUGGGAGCUCACACAGCAACACGUGUGA
Molecule: non-coding RNA, 439 nt
Organism: Cervus elaphus (red deer)
Lineage: Eukaryota; Metazoa; Chordata; Mammalia; Artiodactyla; Cervidae
Source: the annotation of a RefSeq genome assembly